GUGUGUGUGUCACACAGGCCAAACGGCUCUCAAGCCCGAUCCGCCAGAUUUGGCUCUUCCCGCUCUUCUCUUCCUUCAUCUCUUUUUUUUUCCCCAUUUCUUUUUUUCCUCCUCCUCCUCCUCCUCCUCCUCCUCCUCCCUUUUCUUUUUAACUGGGCUCGCGCUCGCUCCUUCGGAGUGGCCCUUAAUUACAGGACGCGAUUGGCAGGACGCUCGAAUAUCUUGUUUUUUUGCGUUGUUGUUUGAGAUGUUUUGGUGGUUUUUCCCUUUUCUUUUUCUUUUUUUCUUCCUUUCCGGGGGCCCCUGUUUGUAGUGCGCUGGCCUGCGUGCGUCUCGUUCGUCCUUGAGAGAGGCCGGCUUGCGGUGUGAGCGGAGCGACGGGCCGGAAUGCGCCGCCACUGCCGCCGCCGCGCGCGCCCUCUCCCGCCUUUGAUGUCGGAGGCGCUAGCGUUUGUUUUUCUUUUUUUCUCUCGUGGUGUUUCAGGGAACCGGCACAUUGUUAAUUUGUGCUUUUCCUCCUUGUUCUCUCUCUCUGUCUCGCUUUGCUGUCUGUCCGACCUACGGGCCGCGUCAUUCAUGGCCAAAAAAACGAGGGAACACACAUGUUGUACGAAAGGGCUAAAUUCUCUCCCUGCUUUCUCGAGCUUGAUGUACAGAUGUCUCUCUUGAGACAUUGCCCCCGUUUAGCCUCCACAGUCCCACUGUCUGAUCAACCUCACUCCUCUCUCCUGCCAAGUCUGUUUGUGUUGUAAACUCCAGUGUUUCUCACUAAGUUUCCUCUCCCAUCAAACAGCCAUCUGCAAGCAGAAGCUUAAGGCAGCAAUGAGAGACGGAACCCUUUAAACCUGGGACUGGAUGUGGUUGGGUGAAAACAGGUAUGUGCCACUGAUGUGGUGCUGUUUUUAUAUGAAGAAUACGGUUGGGCUUUUUUUUUUUUUUUAUCUCUCCAGCCAACGUUUAUGAAGUGUUUAUGAAGUCUUUUAUGAACUUGCAAUGGAGUCUGCCAGUGUAUAUCUACGUUAGGCUGGUGUGGGUGUAUCUAAAUUUCUGUGAAUGUGUGUGUGUGUCUGUAGUUUUUAAGUGUGUGUGUGUGUGUGUAUGUGUAACUGAGGAUGUAACACUGAUUUUGUGCCUGUGUGUGUGUGUGUGUGUGUGUGUGUGUGUGUGUGUGUGUGUGCGUGCGCGCGUCCAUGUGUGAGGUGUCUUCGUGUUCCGUCUGCCGUCGGAGAGGGGACGAUUUACGAGUCUGUUUAUGAAGACGCUGUCAGAGUUGGCACUGCGGUGCAGGGACGC
This is a long non-coding RNA of Clupea harengus (Atlantic herring), 1293 nucleotides long. The record is from Ensembl. NCBI's taxonomy places the organism in Eukaryota, Metazoa, Chordata, Actinopteri, Clupeiformes, Clupeidae.